Molecule: ribosomal RNA, 638 nt
Filed under: Salmonella enterica
Lineage: Bacteria; Pseudomonadati; Pseudomonadota; Gammaproteobacteria; Enterobacterales; Enterobacteriaceae
Also listed under: 2 other names
Description: partial 23S ribosomal RNA
Rfam family: Bacterial large subunit ribosomal RNA
Source: RNAcentral
GUGGACGCCAGUCUGCAUGGAGCCGACCUUGAAAUACCACCCUUUAAUGUUUGAUGUUCUAACGUGGACCCGUAAUCCGGGUUGCGGACAGUGUCUGGUGGGUAGUUUGACUGGGGCGGUCUCCUCCUAAAGAGUAACGGAGGAGCACGAAGGUUGGCUAAUCCUGGUCGGACAUCAGGAGGUUAGUGCAAUGGCAUAAGCCAGCUUGACUGCGAGCGUGACGGCGCGAGCAGGUGCGAAAGCAGGUCAUAGUGAUCCGGUGGUUCUGAAUGGAAGGGCCAUCGCUCAACGGAUAAAAGGUACUCCGGGGAUAACAGGCUGAUACCGCCCAAGAGUUCAUAUCGACGGCGGUGUUUGGCACCUCGAUGUCGGCUCAUCACAUCCUGGGGCUGAAGUAGGUCCCAAGGGUAUGGCUGUUCGCCAUUUAAAGUGGUACGCGAGCUGGGUUUAGAACGUCGUGAGACAGUUCGGUCCCUAUCUGCCGUGGGCGCUGGAGAACUGAGGGGGGCUGCUCCUAGUACGAGAGGACCGGAGUGGACGCAUCACUGGUGUUCGGGUUGUCAUGCCAAUGGCACUGCCCGGUAGCUAAAUGCGGAAGAGAUAAGUGCUGAAAGCAUCUAAGCACGAAACUUGCCCCG